GGAGAGGAGAGGGCGGCUGCCACAGCGCCGCCUGCAGGGCUGGAGGGGAUAGUGCCUGUGCUGCCUUUCCAAAGACUAAGGAGCUCUGUGACCUGGUACCCAAGUCACAGUCGUGGUGAUGACAAGGCGCAGCUGUCACACUCAAAGCCUAAUCAAGGAGUUGGGGAGACAUAACGGACGCGCAACCAAAAACUUUCUGUGGUAGACUUUUGUAUCGGGUCAGUGGAACAAAAAGGAGCAAGGCUCCCAGAGAAAAGCUUGGCCAGGAAUUUCCAAUCCAGUGUUACUUAUUGAGCUCCUGGGUGCCUCUUCCUGGGUCUGCCAACCAAGUGGAUGAGCUUCAGAGAGUCCAGAGAAGCACACGAGAUGUUUACACGCUAAUAAGAGAGCACAGCCAGGUCCAUCGCUCAGAAUCCCUGUCCUGCUGCCUCAAGAUCGUAUUGGGACUGGGGCAGGGCAACAAGGGCAGGCAGUGCAAGAGCCUGCCGGGCAUCCAAGCCCAGGUGCUGGGACGCAGCCUGGGAGUCGACUCAGCCCCACCUCUAAGACACCCGGUGCACCUCUGAGGUCCUGGAGGUGGCCUCCAGCUCUCCUGUGCCCUGCCUCAAGGAUGCUGAUGUUUUUGUGAUUUGAACCACUAAUAAUCCAUUAAGUGAAACAGAUUUCAAACAGAACAAACACACCCCAAAAACAACAGGAGAAAAGCCUUGGGGUGUUUGGGUUUGUCUUGUUUGGGAGGGGAGAGGGAUAUAGGUGUUGGUGCUUUCCCAAGGGUGUUGAGCACAAAGAGUGCCCUGACUGAACCUCGGACACCAGCAAAGCCACCCUUAGGGCCACCUCCUUUGGUACAAGCUGCCGGUGCUGGAGACCAGAGGUCGAAGGCAAAGCACUGAGAUUCCCGAGGCUCAGCCCGUAGGUUUCAUCUGCAUCUUAUUAAAAUGAAAUUCAAAUCCCAGUAGCUGGAAGAAAAGGUCGGGAUUUGACCCAGUCGGUGACCUCCCCCUGUUCCUCCCUCUUCUUCCCUGGCCCAGGUCCCAUCAGAGCCGGGCUCCAAUUUCCCCUCUCCCUGGGUAGCCCCGCACUGCUCAGAAACUCCACAGAAUGGCUCCAUUGUAGGCCACACAAACCAAAAUAGCCGCAUUUCUGUCCUCUGCCUUAGGGAGCAUCACUUAAAACCCCAAAGUCCCAGAUGUGGACGACAAUGGAAGUUGUUGUUGCAAAUUAACUAUCCUGAAAGUGGUGAGAGGCAGGUAGUCGGAAAGCAGCCAGUGGGGUGGGCUGGGCUGUGGGAGAGGGAACAAUUACAUAGUCACUCCAUUAACCCAAUUAGCAAACUCUGGCAGGGAUUCCCUCGUCAACAAAGCAGCAUGGUAAGGAAGGUGGGAACCGGGACAGGGUGGGGGUACUCUUGGAAUGAAGGGGCUAAGAGUAAAACUUCAGUUACCUCUCCCGCUGACGAAUGCUAUUUCUAUCAAAUGGUAAAUGUUCUGGGUUCUUUUUUUAAACCAUGCCCCAGAGCACUGGAUGAACAGUGUUCGCUUUAAUUAAUGAAUCAGAUGACAUCUCCACUCAGCAGCAGGCUCCGCUCAGCUGUGGAAACCCUCUGGGUGGCCUAGAGAACGGGGACUGUGGAGUCCUGAUUGCACACAGCUGUCAGCUCAUUGGUCAUCCAGUCCAAAAGGUCAGGGGACCCCUCCCCAGCAUCCUCCUGGUUGCAAGAGCUUUCUUAGGUUUCGAGAAGGGGACCAGCAUCGAAGAGUGUGACCGUAGUAAUGUUUCUUCUGAGUCCUUUUGUACAGGCUGUGCCAAGGAGCUGGAAUUUAGAGGGAAGGACAAUGUACGUCGUAUGAAAUGGUCAAUCAGGCUUUCUGAUCCAAGCAGGGCAGAUAGUUACCGAUCAUGUACCCUGUACCAGAUGCCAUGCUUAGGGUCAAAGAAGGAUCAAAACAAAAGCAUCCUUGCCUCCGAGGGACUUGCUGAAGCCUGAAGAGCAGGUGCUUGCACGGAAGCAUAAGUGGAGGGAAGUACAGUGACAAGGGGCCUAGGUCCAGCCGCCACGCCUGCAGAGCUCGAUUCCUCUGCUGCAUACAGGUGACAGUCCCUUGGACCAAGCUCCCAAGCACCAAGCACCUCAGUCUCCUCACGAAGAGUAGCAAUAAUGCUGAUACCUACCUUGGUGUGUUAUGAGGAACACAGUAGUUAAGGGAUUCAAAAUGCUUAGAACCAAGUCCAUGAACAAUGAGACUGGACAUACUUGAGACGUUUGAGACGCUGCGGCAUAACAGGACAAACUGGGGAAAGGACUGAAGAGGAAGAGACCCCAUACUCAUCCCAGGACUCUGGGAUUCUGAAGAUAGCCAGGAAGCUGUAUUUGAGUCUCGGGUCGGCUGCAAUGUAUUUACUUGGGUUUUGAAUACUCAUGACCCUGCUUUGCUCCUCUGUAGAGAUGGUGGAGUUUCCCCACCCCAGCCUCCCUGGGAGAAAGGGGAGAAAAUGAGUGUUUACAUCUCCUUUGUACCCGACACAGUUUUACUGUGAGAACUGAAAGAAAGAACGUGAGAUGUAUUUGAAAAAUUAAAAAUUUGUAAACUAUAAA
Mus musculus (house mouse) is the source of this 2596-nucleotide long non-coding RNA. RefSeq annotates it as predicted gene, 33725. The record is from RefSeq and is a predicted model, not a curated record. The transcript is spliced from 4 exons. NCBI's taxonomy places the organism in Eukaryota, Metazoa, Chordata, Mammalia, Rodentia, Muridae.